GUACUGUCAAUGAACAAGGAGAAGGGUCUCCUGGAAAACAUCCUCCCUUGAAGACCACCCAGCCAACCAUUGAGAUGAAAGGAUCCAUUCCAGAGAAGGC
Long non-coding RNA from Otolemur garnettii (small-eared galago), 100 nucleotides. RefSeq lists it as uncharacterized. The transcript has 3 exons. The record is from RefSeq and is a predicted model, not a curated record. Lineage: Eukaryota; Metazoa; Chordata; Mammalia; Primates; Galagidae.